RNAcentral lists this ribosomal RNA (497 nucleotides) under uncultured bacterium. RNAcentral describes it as "partial 16S ribosomal RNA". It matches the Rfam family "Bacterial small subunit ribosomal RNA", at positions 28 to 507 of the family's 1533-position model. The record is from RNAcentral.
GAUGAACGCUGGCGGCGUGCCUAAUACAUGCAAGUCGAGCGAACAGACGCGGCGCUUGCUCCUCUGACGUUAGCGGCGGACGGGUGUGAAACACGUGGAUAACCUCCCUAUAAGACUGGUAUAACUUCGGGACACCGGAGCAUAUACCGGAUAAUAUCUUGAACCGCAUGGUUCAAUAGUGAAAGUCGGUUUUGCUGUCACUUAUAGCUGGAUAUGCGCCGGAUUGGCUAGUUGGUAAGGUAACGGGUUACCAAGGCGACGAUGCGUAGGCGACGUGAGAGAGUGGUCGGCGGCACGGGAGCUGAGACAGGGACCAGACUCCUACGGUAGGCAGCAGUAGGGAAUGGUCGGCAGUGGGCGGAAGCUUGACAGAGCGACGCGGCGUGAGUGGUAGAGGUCUUCGGUUCGUAAAACUCUGUUAUGAGGGAAAAACAAAUGUGUAAGGAACCAUGGACGGCGUGACGGUACCUAGUCAGAAAGCCACGGCUAACUACGUG